UACGUAGGGUCCAAGCGUUAUCCGGAAUCACUGGGCGUAAAGCGUGCGUAGGCGGGAGUCUAAGUGUGGUGUUAAAUCGUGUGGCUCAACCAUAUCGAUGCAUCGCAUACUGGGCACCUAGAGGAAGGCAGAGGCAAGUGGAAUUACGAGUGUAGCAGUGAAAUGCGCUAGAUAUUCGUAGGAACACCAAUGGCGAAGGCAGCUUGCUGGGCCUUUCUGACGCUGAGGUACGAAGCGUGGGGAGCGAACAGG
RNAcentral lists this ribosomal RNA (252 nucleotides) under uncultured bacterium. RNAcentral describes it as "partial 16S ribosomal RNA". It matches the Rfam family "Bacterial small subunit ribosomal RNA", at positions 524 to 776 of the family's 1533-position model. The record is from RNAcentral.